Molecule: ribosomal RNA, 200 nt
Filed under: uncultured bacterium
Lineage: Bacteria
Description: partial 16S ribosomal RNA
Rfam family: Bacterial small subunit ribosomal RNA
Source: RNAcentral
ACGCUCGACACCUACGAGAGGCAGCAGUCGGGAAUAUUGCGCAAUGGAGGAAACUCUGACGCAGUGACGCCGCGUAUAGGAAGAAGGUUUUCGGAUUGUAAACUAUUGUCGUUAGGGAAGAGAAAGGACAGUACCUAAGGAGGAAGCUCCGGCUAACUACGUGCCAGUAGCCGCGGUAAUCUGAGCGGGGCUGGCAAGGC